This 324-nucleotide ribosomal RNA is filed under the name uncultured eukaryote. RNAcentral describes it as "partial 18S ribosomal RNA". It matches the Rfam family "Eukaryotic small subunit ribosomal RNA", at positions 1470 to 1796 of the family's 1831-position model. The record is from RNAcentral.
CCCUUAGAUGCUCUGGGCCGCACGCGCGCUACACUGGUCGAUGCAACGAGUUUCUUUCCUUGGCCGACAGGCCUGGGCAAUCUUUGAACAUCGAUCGUGAUCGGGAUAGAUUCUUGUAAUUUUUGAUCUUAAACGAGGAAUUCCUAGUAAACGCAAGUCAUCAGCUUGCAUUGAUUACGUCCCUGCCCUUUGUACACACCGCCCGUCGCACCUACCGAUUGAAUGGUCCGGUGAAAUCUCCGGACUGGCGUGAGUCGGAGCAAUCUGACAAACACCGGAAAGUUGAUUAAACCUUACCAUUUAGAGGAAGGUGAANUCGUAACA